GCAGAGUCGUGAUAGAAAGUAGAAAGAACAUCGCUGUCCUGUGAGGAAAUCUAACUUAAAUAAUCCCACCAACUUGACCAUUCCACGCUGAGAAUUCCACAAUAGUCACAGCAAAUAACAGAAGAACGUAAGAGACGAUCGAUUGUUGUAUGUAUCCCCAAGUGAGCACAUUGAGCGUAGCUUUUGAACGCUGCUAACCGGCUUCUUUUAUCGGAAGUGUCAACUCAUCUGAUCCAUGUGACGUCACGCCAUUCCCUGACACGUCGUGAGCGAACGAAGAAACGGGGUCCACAACACUCGAUGGGGCAAUACAAACAAAGAGACAUAAAUAACAGCUGUGACUCAUCAACAAUCAAAUGAGCAUUUAAUCAACAGCUUUAUAAAUAUAUCCCUCUUAUGUGGCCGUGCUACAUAGAUCCCCCCCCAGCCAACGGCGUCGGAGCUGGACCCUCCCACUUUGGCGCUAGCGUGGCAGAGAUUUUGAUAGAGGCACUGGAAAGAGGAUGGGUUUUUACCCAAACUAGGUCACCCGGUUGAAACUGCGCAUUUUUUCUACGGGAAUACGCAGCUUGAUCAGGUGAAGGUGGUCGGUGGAUUAGGCGUUCCAGAGGUCCCAGCACUUGCCUACCCAGCAUGAUCUCAGCCGGGGUCUUCCCCGUGCUUUCCUGCUGGGCGGUGUUGAUGGCAUAGCAGAAUUCUGGUAGCCACUGGUCCCAGGUUUGAUGUUGUUGUCCAACAUAUGCAGCAAUCAUUGUUUUUACAGUCCGGUUGAUUCUUUCUGUUAGGUUUGCUUGUGGGUGAUAGUUUGUUGUUAGUCUCUGAACACAACCCCAUGUCUUGCACAGAUC
Molecule: long non-coding RNA, 848 nt
Organism: Sinocyclocheilus grahami
Lineage: Eukaryota; Metazoa; Chordata; Actinopteri; Cypriniformes; Cyprinidae
Exons: 3
Source: RefSeq, a predicted model, not a curated record